This 276-nucleotide ribosomal RNA is filed under the name uncultured bacterium. RNAcentral describes it as "partial 16S ribosomal RNA". It matches the Rfam family "Bacterial small subunit ribosomal RNA", at positions 526 to 779 of the family's 1533-position model. The record is from RNAcentral.
CGGAGGGCGCGAGCGUUGUCCGGAAUCGCUGGGCGUAAAGCGCGCGCAGGCGGACUCGUGCGUCGGGAGUGAAAGCCCGGGGCUCAACCCCGGAGUUUGCUUCCGAUACGGCGGGUCUAGGGACCGGCAGAGGCCGGUGGAAUUCCCGGUGUAGCGGUGGAAUGCGUAGAGAUCGGGAAGAACACCAGUGGCGAAGGCGGCCGGCUGGGCCGGUGAGCCCUCUUUCGGGAGGGUGUCCGACGCUCAUGCGCGAAAGCGUGGGGAGCAAACAGGAUU